GUGCUCGCUUCACAGCACAUAUACUAAAAUUGGAAUUAUACAGAGAAUAUUAGCCUGUCCCCUGCACAAGGAUGACACACAAAUUUGUGAAAGAAAUAUUUUUAUU
Small nuclear RNA from Equus asinus (donkey), 106 nucleotides. NCBI's taxonomy places the organism in Eukaryota, Metazoa, Chordata, Mammalia, Perissodactyla, Equidae. The record is from Ensembl.